This 229-nucleotide long non-coding RNA is filed under the name Elaeis guineensis (African oil palm). Its description in RNAcentral is "long non-coding RNA (EGUI_LNC021620)". The record is from RNAcentral. Lineage: Eukaryota; Viridiplantae; Streptophyta; Magnoliopsida; Arecales; Arecaceae.
UGGUGACCUACUAUAGACUAGAACAAUACGAGGAGAUGCCAGUGCUGGAGUGGGCAGUGGUGGUGAUGCCAGAAGCCAGAAGGAGAGCAUGCAAAUGGGAGAGGUUUCUUAGGUUUCGAUUGGGAUUUUUUCUUAAGCAUACAGGUUUUUGUGCGAGUUGUAGUGGUAUGAUCGGCAAAAAACCUAGGAGGCAGCAGUGUCGGUGCUGGAGCAAGCAGUCGUGGGGGUC